GCUUCAGCUGCGUUUAUUGUUACCAAUUUGUGUCCCGAUGCAACUUUUCUAGGCAGCCUCGGUGGGAGACACUUGCAGAGCAACGUUUGCAUUUCUGCAGGUCUUUGUGGACAUGCAUAUUGCUAAUACACACAUAAACAGGAUGCCAUUUAUAUUUAAACAGUGCUUUUGGAGUCGAAUGGCAUCACAGCUGAGGGAAUGGAAACGUUCUGAUUUGUAUCACUUAUCUCAGUGGAGGCUGCUUCCUUCACACAUUGACUUCUGCAGAGUCUCUGCAAUAAGGCAGCUACAUUCACAUAGGAUGAGACAUGAGACAUGCCACCCCCCUCUUCACCUGAGGCUUUCCCAGGCACAGAACACCUGAUGCUUCACAGCACUGAACCUUCCACUGCAGUUUGCUGAGGGCUGUAAAGCAGUGUCCCUUGCACUGGCAGUGUUUUACACUGCCUUCAGCCUGCUACAGGGAUCCCAGCUCAGCAGGACUCAGCCAGGUAUGGUUCCAAAAGCUUUUCACCCCUAGAAGUCACGACCAUGUCAGGUGGGAUGUUUCUCCACUGUCUUUACAAGAUAAAAUCCCCAAAGUGUAUGCAUUUGCAAAAACACACAGUAAAAAAAAAAAAAUCAGUGACACAAGCAACCCCUCCAACCUUGUGGGUGCUUAUGUGUGUUCCUGGGGAGCUGUCUUGUCCCCCAUGAUGGGUUUAAUGGUCAGGACUGAGGCAGUCCUUGUCCCACCUGUCUGCAAUGGCCUUUGGCUGGCAGUCACCACCACUCAGAAUUCGAUUUGAGGGGUCUGGGUGUCCUCUCCAAAGCUUUCUCAAGACACAGCCCUGCCAGCUUGAUUAAACCAACCUAAACCCACAUUCCUUCCCUAAGGGAUGGCCCUGUCUUCUUCUAGCCCAGCUGGGAUUUCCCAGUGCCUCCCCACCUCUGCUGCAGUCCCUGCAACCCACAGGGAAUGGGAGCUACAUUUAAUAGCUACAGCUAUUAAAUGCUGAUGGAGCUGAAAGCAAAAGGAGAAAAAAAUCUUCUUUCACCAGGUCAGCAAGGCACUCUGUCCCACCCUGUGGGUGGCAGGAGCUCAUGGCUGGGAGAAAAGAGCACUCUCAUUAGUCCAUCAGUCAUUGGUACAGCUGAACUGGCAGCAAAGUCGUGUUUGAGUUUACAGCUUGAGCACUAAUUUAAAUUGCUGUUGAUUUUGGGGUUGCCUCAGCACCCUGGGGCUGGCAGUGCCAUAGCAAGUUGCCAGUGCCUGUGCUAAGGGAACAAGAUUCUCCACCAGAGAGAGAGAAGGGCUCAGGAUGGCAGCAGUAUCUGCACCUGCUGCAAAUCCCUCUUCUUGCUUCAUUCUUAGGUGGAGGGCUAUUUUUAAUGGGAUCAACUCAGUGACACAAGAUGUCAAAAUGCAGCUUCACAAAGCAGUUGCAUCAGUGCAAACAGUGUGGAAGCAAACUGUGAGGAUCUGGGGAGAGAGGAGUCCCUUGGGGCAGCCUCACAGAGGAGCCAGAGCACCACGAGGGCCACCAGCAACAGCACAGGAGCUCUGAAGUGGCUCAGGAGGGCAGAAGAUUCCCUCUCUCAUCUGGGUGUGCAAAAGUGAUGUUACCCAUUCCCUUCAGGAUUCAAUCUGGCUUUCAGGCAGGAGCCUUUCCUUUGCUUAGCCUCUGUGAAGGACUGAGCAGGGUACAUGAAAAAUCCUCAGCUUUCCCCAGCAUACAUUUUUUUGACAGUGAGUUAAGAGGUGUCUGUUUUAUAGGUGUAAAAAUGAGAGGCAAAGGACAAUGAACUAUUGUUUCCAUCCCUGUGUUUCAGAAGGCAGUAGACAAAUCAAACAGUUUCGAAUGCAGGACAAAAGCUCCUCCUGAAAGAAGUGUACAAGGUUGUGACUAUUUGGUGUUAUUCUCAUGAGGGAACAGAGAGGAUCAAAAGAAUAAACUCUAAAACUCCAGUAACA
Molecule: long non-coding RNA, 1954 nt
Organism: Cyanistes caeruleus (blue tit)
Lineage: Eukaryota; Metazoa; Chordata; Aves; Passeriformes; Paridae
Source: Ensembl